UCUAAUAUGGCAGAUAAAUGUAAUGAACUUAAAAUUCAUGAAUAAAAGUUAAUUUUUAUUAGAA
This 64-nucleotide transfer RNA is filed under the name Oncylocotis sp. PJ-2015. RNAcentral's name for it is "tRNA-Leu". Lineage: Eukaryota; Metazoa; Arthropoda; Insecta; Hemiptera; Enicocephalidae. The record is from RNAcentral.